UCGCCUCAUUUUUUAUAUGCAAAUUUGCGU
RNAcentral lists this non-coding RNA (30 nucleotides) under Mus musculus (house mouse). The record is from RNAcentral. Lineage: Eukaryota; Metazoa; Chordata; Mammalia; Rodentia; Muridae.